UUUUGAAAGAGCUUUAUUUUAUUACAAAAUUCCAUUUUGCAAUUCAUAAACAUAUUUCACAAAUGUCUUUUUACGAGGAAGAAACGUGAUUUAACUAUGUUAGCAGAAAUUAUAGAACAACUGCUGUUUAAACAAGCAGGAAAUUAAGCGAAAUAUUUACAUUUUUUUCAAGUCAUUCAGUCAAAGCUGAAGCUAAAUUUAGUUGAUGUGUUAUGUCGAGCUUAUGAACUAUGGAAAGACUUUACGAGGAAGGAGAAAAGCUACGAUCCAAAGCUUCAAUGAUAGACUGCGUUUCCGGCAUAAAGGGAAGAAAAUCACAUAAAAGAAAUGAAGAAGAAAGUUUUAGAAAACGAAUCAGAAAUGCUUUCCAUGGAUGUUUCGAAAUCUGUAUCAAGAAAUAUGACGACUGAUAAGAAUAAAUUAAUCUUUUUCUAAAGAAUAUAAUAAGAAAACUAUCGAAGAAUUUGGGUAAAGGAGAACUGUUAUUCUCUUCAUGAAACUAUAGAGAAAAGAAUAAUUCGCGAAAAAAGAGAAGAAAAGACAUUAUUAUGGUUUGACUACGUGUAUACUGAUAUAAUUACAACUUUGAAAAAUGUUUUUAAUUAAAAUAUAAAUGUACAAGAUAUCAAAUGUUUAGAAACAAUUGUUUUAAAAUGUAAAGUUUCAGGUCUUUUGCAAAUUUUUGCGUUGAAAGAAUUAUGAUAAAAAUUUCAAGUGCACUGGAUGUGUCUUUGAAGCAUGUUUAAGAAAGGAAAAAUUUAUCAUACGGCUUUUUAUAAAUUUUAUUUAUACUUUUAUUUUUGCUUAAAUUAAACGGAUAAUUAUUAGAAGUUAAAAAAAAAAGCAUUAUUCACAUUCCAAAUGGAAAAAUGCGCAAAAUGUAUAUUUUACUGGAAUUAAACAAGCAUAAAAUUUACUUAAUAUUAUUCAAGAAAACUCGCAUCUGUUCAUCGGUUUUGGAAGAAUUCAUCACAUGUUUAAAAGAAUUUAUUUGUAGUUUUGAAGAUGCAUUUGAAAAUGUAUUUAUUUAUUCUAUCAAAUUAAACAAGUGAUAAUGGAACAUUAGUAAGUCAAAUAAUAAACUUUUAUACCUUACCA
Long non-coding RNA from Stegodyphus dumicola, 1098 nucleotides. RefSeq lists it as uncharacterized. NCBI's taxonomy places the organism in Eukaryota, Metazoa, Arthropoda, Arachnida, Araneae, Eresidae. The record is from RefSeq and is a predicted model, not a curated record.